This 263-nucleotide ribosomal RNA is filed under the name uncultured bacterium. Its description in RNAcentral is "partial 16S ribosomal RNA". It matches the Rfam family "Bacterial small subunit ribosomal RNA", at positions 338 to 617 of the family's 1533-position model. The record is from RNAcentral.
CCUACGGGGCGCAGCAGUGGGGAAUAUUGCACAAUGGGGGAAACCCUGAUGCAGCAACGCCGCGUGAGUGAGGAAGUAUUUCGGUAUGUAAAGCUCUAUCAGCAGGGAAUAGAAAAGAAGGUACCUGAAAAAGAAGCCCCGGCUAACUACGUGCCAGCAGCCGCGGUAAUACGUAGGGGGCAAGCGUUAUCCGGAUUUACUGGGUGUAAAGGGAGCGUAGACGGAAAGGCAAGUCAGAAGUGAAAGCCCAAGGCUCAACCAUG